Molecule: ribosomal RNA, 1119 nt
Filed under: Companilactobacillus farciminis
Lineage: Bacteria; Bacillati; Bacillota; Bacilli; Lactobacillales; Lactobacillaceae
Description: bacterial SSU rRNA
Rfam family: Bacterial small subunit ribosomal RNA
Source: RNAcentral
AGCAGUAGGGAAUCUUCCACAAUGGGCGAAAGCCUGAUGGAGCAAUGCCGCGUGAGUGAAGAAGGUUUUCGGAUCGUAAAACUCUGUUGUUGAAGAAGAACAUGCGUGAGAGUAACUGUUCACGUACUGACGGUAUUCAACCAGAAAGCCACGGCUAACUACGUGCCAGCAGCCGCGGUAAUACGUAGGUGGCAAGCGUUGUCCGGAUUUAUUGGGCGUAAAGAGAAUGUAGGCGGUUUAUUAAGUUUGAAGUGAAAGCCCUCGGCUCAACCGAGGAAGUGCUUCGAAAACUGGUAAACUUGAGUGCAGAAGAGGAAAGUGGAACUCCAUGUGUAGCGGUGGAAUGCGUAGAUAUAUGGAAGAACACCAGUGGCGAAGGCGGCUUUCUGGUCUGUAACUGACGCUGAGAUUCGAAAGCAUGGGUAGCAAACAGGAUUAGAUACCCUGGUAGUCCAUGCCGUAAACGAUGAGUGCUAAGUGUUGGAGGGUUUCCGCCCUUCAGUGCUGCAGCUAACGCAUUAAGCACUCCGCCUGGGGAGUACGACCGCAAGGUUGAAACUCAAAGGAAUUGACGGGGGCCCGCACAAGCGGUGGAGCAUGUGGUUUAAUUCGAAGCAACGCGAAGAACCUUACCAGGUCUUGACAUACCAUGAAAAGCUAAGAGAUUAGUCUUUCCCUUCGGGGACAUGGAUACAGGUGGUGCAUGGUUGUCGUCAGCUCGUGUCGUGAGAUGUUGGGUUAAGUCCCGCAACGAGCGCAACCCUUAUUAUCAGUUGCCAGCAUUCAGUUGGGCACUCUGGUGAGACUGCCGGUGACAAACCGGAGGAAGGUGGGGACGACGUCAAAUCAUCAUGCCCCUUAUGACCUGGGCUACACACGUGCUACAAUGGUCGGUACAACGUGUUGCGAACUCGCGAGGGCAAGCAAAUCACUUAAAACCGAUCUCAGUUCGGAUUGCAGGCUGCAACUCGCCUGCAUGAAGCUGGAAUCGCUAGUAAUCGCGGAUCAGCAUGCCGCGGUGAAUACGUUCCCGGGCCUUGUACACACCGCCCGUCACACCAUGAGAGUUUGUAACACCCAAAGUCGGUGGGGUAACCCUUCGGGGAACUAGCCGCCUAA